Molecule: ribosomal RNA, 270 nt
Filed under: uncultured archaeon
Lineage: Archaea
Description: partial 16S ribosomal RNA
Rfam family: Archaeal small subunit ribosomal RNA
Source: RNAcentral
CAGCACCUCAAGUGGUCAGGAUGAUUAUUGGGCCUAAAGCAUCCGUAGCCGGCGCUGUAAGUUUUCGGUUAAAUCUGUACGCUCAACGUACAGGCUGCCGGGAAUACUGCAGCGCUAGGGAGUGGGAGAGGUUGACGGUACUCGGUAGGAAGGGGUAAAAUCCUUUGAUCUAUUGAUGACCACCUGUGGCGAAGGCGGUCUACCAGAACACGUCCGACGGUGAGGGAUGAAAGCUGGGGGAGCAAACCGGAUUAGAUACCCGAGUAGUCC